UGGAUGAGGAUGAACUUGAGAU
RNAcentral lists this unclassified non-coding RNA (22 nucleotides) under Mus musculus (house mouse). Its description in RNAcentral is "oocyte_clustered_small_RNA5099". The record is from RNAcentral. Lineage: Eukaryota; Metazoa; Chordata; Mammalia; Rodentia; Muridae.